RNAcentral lists this ribosomal RNA (309 nucleotides) under uncultured bacterium. RNAcentral describes it as "bacterial SSU rRNA". It matches the Rfam family "Bacterial small subunit ribosomal RNA", at positions 32 to 318 of the family's 1533-position model. The record is from RNAcentral.
AAUCAACGCUGGCGGCGUGCCUCAGACAUGCAAGUCGAACGCGAAAUCCCGAGCAAUCGGGAGAGUAGAGUGGCGCACGGGUGAGUAACACGUAGGUAAUCUACCUUCGGAUGGGGAAUAACAACCGGAAACGGUUGCUAAUACCGCAUAAUGCAGCGGCACCUAAUGGUGACAGUUGUUAAAGCGGGGGAUCGAAAGACCUCGCGUCUGAAGAGGAGCCUGCGGCGGAUUAGCUAGUUGGUAAGGUAAUGGCUUACCAAGGCAACGAUCCGUAACCGGCCUGGAGGAGGGCGGUCGGUCACACUGACA